CGGCACCUAUUCACUCACAAAUUUCUAAAAAUGCAUACCCAAAGACCCCCUUAGCCAAAUUGCACAAACAAGUCUCCCAAUCAGCUACAACACUCCCUAAUUUGAAUUCCUUAACCCUUUCCUAAAAUCUCACCCUUUAUCCCUCCUUGAUAUCCUCCAUAACACCCUCCAAGACCCAUUCAAACUCUCACCCAACAUAGUUCGAAACCAC
This 211-nucleotide long non-coding RNA is filed under the name Gossypium raimondii (Peruvian cotton). RNAcentral's name for it is "long non-coding RNA (GRAI_LNC001975)". Lineage: Eukaryota; Viridiplantae; Streptophyta; Magnoliopsida; Malvales; Malvaceae. The record is from RNAcentral.